UACGUAGGGUGCGAGCGUUUGUCCGGAUUUAUUGGGCGUAAAGAGCUCGUAGGCGGCUUGUCGCGUCGGGAUGUGAAAAGCCCGGGGCUUUAACUCCGGGUCUGCAUUCGAUACGGGCAGGCUAGAGUGUGGUAGGGGAGAUCGAAUUCCUGGUGUAGCGGUGAAAUGCGCAGAUAUCAGGAGGAACACCGGUGGCGAAGGCGGAUCUCUGGGCCAUUACUGACGCUGAGACGCGAAAGCGUGGGGAGCGAACAGG
This 256-nucleotide ribosomal RNA is filed under the name uncultured bacterium. RNAcentral describes it as "partial 16S ribosomal RNA". It matches the Rfam family "Bacterial small subunit ribosomal RNA", at positions 524 to 776 of the family's 1533-position model. The record is from RNAcentral.